Molecule: long non-coding RNA, 6173 nt
Filed under: Octopus vulgaris (common octopus)
Lineage: Eukaryota; Metazoa; Mollusca; Cephalopoda; Octopoda; Octopodidae
Source: RNAcentral
AAUUUUGAAACUUUUAUUGCUCAUUUUUUCUUUCAUUUAAUUUAAUUAUCUUUUAAAAGAAUGCAAGGAAAUGCGACAUUUUAAUAAUUAAAGUAAAGUGGUUUUAAUUAUUUUUUUUUAUUUGUGUGUUGUGUGCAUAUAUGUUUUUAUUAAGUAAAGAGUUUGUGUGAAAAUAAAUGCUAAAACACUUCAAUUUAAUUAAGAUUGUGUCCGUAUUGAAGAGAAGUAAACACUGGAUUAAUGCUUAAAUCUCCCCAAAACAAGUGUGACAACAAAUUGCGUUAAUGAAAAAUAAACCCAAAAUGGUGGAUAGCAAUCAAAAUCUCAAGUAGUGAGUUUAUGUAAUGGACACAAUAAUGACCAAUGCUUGUGUGGAAGGAAGGAGAGUGGACGUUGUUGUUGUUGUAUUGUUGCAGGUAUCAGUGAUAUGAAGGGGGUGCGAUGGGGUCAUAGUUUAUACUGCUGACCUCACCGGUAAUGGUCAACAGCGAUCUGGGGCAAGGGUGGGAGUAGAGCAAGUAGAUGUAUUAUUGACCUUGGUGGCGGUGGUCAAAUAACAAUGUUUGGGAAGUGAACAGUUGUGUUUGUUGACCUUAGUAACGGUCAAUAGUGAUGAACCGAAUAGAAGUCCUGUAGUGUAACUAAAUGCUAGUCAAUACUACGAGUGCAUAAGGAAGCAACUGACCCAAUAUGGGUAGCCAACUAUGUGGGACUAAUAUAGAGCUGACCAAGUGAGGGCGCACUAGCAAUGUAAGGUAUCAUACAAGUGUCCAGGGCAGGUAGCUACCAAUAAAAGGUGCUGUGCAGCUGUCCCAGUGAAUGGAUACUGAGCAAGCUGAUUUAACAGAAUAUUUCAUAUGCUCUGCACUGUACUGACCCCUGGCAAAGGCACCAAAUUCUCAUUGGCCAGGAAAGAUUUUUAUAAAGAAGACCUGUAAUCGAAUACAGUUUAUUAGUGAAACACUGUACAACUAGUGUUUCAUUACAUAGUAGUGUUAGGCUCAAAUGUUCCGACCCAGAGUGAGUAACUAGCGAUGUAAGGUACUACACAGCCAACCCAAAAUGGGAACCUAACAAUGUAAGGUACUACACAGCCAACCCAAAGUGGGAACCUAACAAUGUAAGGUACUACACUGCCAACCCAAAGUGGGAACCUAGGAAUGUAAGGUACUACACUGCUAACCCAAAAUGGGAACCUAACAAUGUAAGGUACUACACUGCCAACCCAAAGUGGGAACCUAGGAAUGUAAGGUACUACACUGCCAACCCAAAGUGGGAACCUAGGAAUGUAAGGUACUACACUGCUAACCCAAAAUGGGAACCUAACAAUGUAAGGUACUACACUGCCAACCCAAAGUGGGAACCUAACAAUGUAAGGUACUACACUGCUAACCCAAAGUGGGAACCUAACAAUGUAAGGUACUACACUGCCAACCCAAAAUGGGAACCUAACAAUGUAAGGUACUACACAGCCAACCCAAAGUGGGAACCUAACAAUGUAAGGUACUACACUGCUAACCCAAAGUGGGAACCUAACAAUGUAAGGUACUACACUGCCAACCCAAAGUGGGAACCUAGGAAUGGAAGCUAGUCAUAUUAGGUACUAUGAAACUGACCCAAUGUGGGUAACUAGCAUAGUAGAGUACUUUACAACUAACCCAAUGUGGGUAGCCAGCAAUAUAAGGUACCAUGCAGCUGAUUCAAUACAGGAAGCUAGCAAUGUACAGUACCACAUAGCUAACCCAAUGUGGGUAGCUGAUAUUGUAGGGUACUGUACAGUAGACCCAAUAUGGGUACCUAGUAAUGGAGGGUACUAUGCAGAAAUCCAAUCUGGAUAGCUGGCAUAGUAGAGUACCAAUAACUAACCCAAUGUGGGUAGCUAAUACCGUAGGGUACUGUACAGUAGACCCAAUAUGGGUACCUAACAAUGGAGGGUACUAUGCAGCAAAUCCAAUCUGGAUAGCUAGCAUAGUAGAGUACCAAUAACUAACUCAAUGUAGGUAGCUACCAAUGUAGGGUACUGUACAGUAGACCCAAUAUGGGUACCUAGCGAUGGAGGGUACUAUGCAGCAAAUCCAAUCUGGAUAGCUAGCAUAGUAGAGUACCAAUAACUAACCCAAUGUGGGUAGCUAAUAUCGUAGGGUACUGUACAGUAGACCCAAUAUGGGUACCUAGCAAUGGAGGGUACUAUGCAGCAAAUCCAAUCUGGAUAGCUAGCAUAGUAGAGUACCAAUAACUAACCCAAUGUGGGUAGCUAAUAUCGUAGGGUACUGUACAGUAGACCCAAUAUGGGUACCUAGCAAUGGAGGGUACUAUGCAGCAAAUCCAAUCUGGAUAGCUGGCAUAGUAGAGUACCAAUAACUAACCCAAUGUGGGUAGCUAAUAUCGUAGGGUACUGUACAGUAGACCCAAUAUGGGUACCUAGCAAUGGAGGGUACUAUGCAGAAAUCCAAUCCGGAUAGCUGGCAUAGUAGAGUACCAAUAACUAACCCAAUGUGGGUAGCUAAUAUCGUAGGGUACUGUACAGUAGACCCAAUAUGGGUACCUAGCAAUGGAGGGUACUAUGCAGAAAUCCAAUCUGGAUAGCUAGCAUAGUAGAGUACCAAUAACUAACCCAAUGUGAGUAGCUAAUACCGUAGGGUACUGUACAGUAGACCCAAUAUGGGUACCUAGCAAUGGAGGGUACUAUGCAGAAAUCCAAUCUGGAUAGCUGGCAUAGUAGAGUACCAAUAACUAACCCAAUGUGGGUAGCUAAUACCGUAGGGUACUGUACAGUAGACCCAAUAUGGGUACCUAGCAAUGGAGGGUACUAUGCAGAAAUCCAAUCUGGAUAGCUAGCAUAGUAGAGUACCAAUAACUAACCCAAUGUGGGUAGCUAAUACCGUAGGGUACUGUACAGUAGACCCAAUAUGGGUACCUAGCAAUGGAGGGUACUAUGCAGCAAAUCCAAUCUGGAUAGCUAGCAUAGUAGAGUACCAAUAACUAACCCAAUGUGGGUAGCUACCAAUGUAGGGUACUAUGUAGCUGACUGAAUGUAAUAGGGGUAUUCUCCUUUAAUUAUACAACUCACAACUCAACACUAUCAUACCUUCAGAUAUCGAUUCAUCACUUGUACAAGGGUUUCACUUUUGUCUUUUUAAAUAAAAGAUGGUAAAAUAAAAAUUAAGAUCAUAAUCAGAAUGAUUCUAAAUCGGAAAUUAUUUAUAGUUUAAAUGCGUUUAAUCCUCCUCUACCAUAUAACUUAAGAUUUUGAAAAAUUCUCAAUUAACACCUGUUACAUAGCAACAAAUGUUUAAGCAGUAUGAUGGUAAGAAAUAGUAAAGUAAAAUAAAUAAAUGAAUUAAUUAAAUGAGUGGCUGUGUGGUAAGUAGCUUGCUAACCAACCACAUGGUUCCGGGUUCAGUCCCACUGCGUGGCAUCUUGGGCAAGUGUCUUCUGCUAUAGCCCCGGGCUGACCAAUGCCUUGUGAGUGGAUUUGGUAGACGGAAACUGAAAGAAGCCUGUCGUAUAUAUGUAUAUAUAUAUAUAUAAAUGUGUGUGUAUAUGUUUGUGUGUCUGUGUUUGUCCCCCUAGCAUUACUUGACAACCGAUGCUGGUGUGUUUACGUCCCCGUCACUUAGCGGUUCGGCAAAAGAGACCGAUAGAAUAAGUAUUGGGCUUACAAAGAAUAAGUCCCGGGGUCGAUUUGCUCGACUAAAGGCGGUGCUCCAGCAUGGCCACAGUCAAAUGACUGAAACAAGUAUAAAAGAAUAAUAAAAAAAAAGAGUAAAAGGGUUAGUUAAAGCCAAUAGUUUUAAUUGAAUCAAAUAAUAAAAUUUCUGUUAGUGAAUAUUAAAACUAACUUCAAUGAAAUCGUUAGAUUACUGGUUCUUCUCUAAAAAUAUUUUUACGUCUCUAAGUAUAAUUACUUUUUCUUUUUGAAACUCAAUUCUAUGUGUGUGUAUGUGUAUAUAUAUAUAUAGGGGAAAAGUUGAUGAAAAAAAACAAAAGACGAAGAAAAGGUGUAGAAAACAAACAAACGUGUAUUAGUAUAAAGCUCAGGAAUUGAAAAAGUCUUUUACGUUUCAAGCCUACGCUUGUCUACAGAAAGGGACACAGAAAAAAACAAGGAGAAAAAAAAAAAUGUGUGUAGUGGCUACCGAUCUUUCAUGGUGACUGUAUAUAUAUAUAUAUGUGUGUGUGUGUGUAUGUAUGUAUGUAUGUAUGUAUGUAUGUAGAUAUACAUGCACAAAUGUAACCAGGUUCUUGUAGAAAUUGUCAAGUGUACUGAUUGUUAAAGGAUGAAAGCUAAUAAACACCAGACACCACAAUCAAUGGAUAUCAAAUUCCCAAAGGAAGGUGACAAAGCACCCAAAGUGAAAGCAAUGGAAGGGGACUCGUUUUCUAUUUUGUGUUCAGCCUCAGACUGGGAAAUGCAAGUGGACCUGAGGGGCAGAUUUGUCUUUUCAGAAGAGAUAGUGGUGACACCACUCUAACCAGACAUAUUCCUGCUCUCUAGGAAAAUCAAAAACGGUCAUCGUGGUUGAACGCACAAUGCCCUGAGAGGACAGACUCUGUAUUUCCCACCAGGUAACGAAAAUGAAAUAUCAGGAUUCAGUCAACAAGACCCUAGUCAAGGGCUAGCAUGCAGCCUCAUUCUCCAUUGAAGUCAGUUCCUACAGCUUUCCUUCUAGAUCUGUGUGCUAUUUCCAGCAGAAAAUAGGUCUGGAACCUAGACAAUUAAAGAAAGCCAUCUAGGAAAUAGGCAUGGCAGCUGAAACUAGCUUAAAGUGCCUAUGGUUGAUAAGAAACCACAAGUGGAACCCUUCUGUAGGUGAAAACUAUGUCUUCACUGCCUCACUCGGAUGAAGUGUACAGGCUAAGGGGGAAAAUGCAUGUGACUUUGAGAUACCUGCUGACUUUACAGAAGGAUUUCUAGCAUUGUAAUGAACUUAAAAGAGCUUGCAAAACCUCUGAGUAACGUUAGAAGUUUCUGCACGGAGCAAGGCAUCUCUGAUGUUAUACAUAUGUGUGUGUGUGUGUGUAUAUAUAUAUAUAUAUAUAUAUAUAUGUACCAUCAAGCCAAGUGAAAUAAAUCACAGUUGUGGCAGGUACCAGAGUCACACAAAUAUCACCCAUGCCGGUGACAUGUAAAAGCACCCAUUACACUCUUUGAGUGGUUGGCGUUAUGAAGGGCAUCCAGUGGUAGAAAUCAUGCCAAAUCAGACUGGAGUCUGGUGCAGCCUUCUAGCCCUGGUCAAACUGUCCAAUCCAUUCCAGCAUUAAAUGACGAUGAUAUUCAUAUAUAUAUAUAUCAUUGUUAUUAUGCAAAAGUUUUUUAAGUCCAAAAUAUUGCUUUUUCAGAAAACAAAAAAAUAGUUUCACCAUUCCAUAGCAAAAUUGUUGUACAACACUUUGACAAUUUUUUAUAUCUUGGCAUCCGAAGCAGCUGGAGAUACGAUAGUUUGACCAAAAGAACCGGCUAUUGCAAGCAAAAAUAAAUAUUGAAAAAAAGGCCAUUGGGCAAUUUUGGACACAUGACAGUUUAACAUAAUAGUAAUGAUAUGUAUUCACAUGUGUGUGUGUGUAUAUAUAUGUAUAGUUGAAAUUUAUAGAAAAACAAUAGAUGAAGAUAGGUGUAUGAACAAAAGCAAGUGUAUUAGUUUGACACCCGGGAAAAUGAAAAAGUCUUUUAUGUUUCAAGCCUACGCUCUUCAACAGGAAGGAAUAAGAGAAAAUACACAGAGAGAGAGAAUGUGAAGAUUUCAGCGGUCUGCACACACACAUAUAUAUAUAUAUAUACACAUAGACACAUAGACAUAUAUAUAGUUUCCUUUAUUAAAGCUGAAGCUAAAAGUUCUUCUCAUGAUGUGAAAUAUACAACUGAGUUUCUUGAAAGAAAAGAAAUAGUUAUACUUUAUCAUCAUGAUCAUUAUUUAAUGCCUGUUUCCAAUGCUGGCAUAUAUAUGUGUGUGUGUGUUUGCAUAUGCUGCAUACACACACAUUUAUUUAUAUAUAUAUAUAUAUAUGUAUGGGUUGAGGAAGUGGGAGAGGAGGUAGGUGAUCACAGUGAAUGAGAGCUGUGAAGAGUGAAGUGUGGGUUUUGAGUAAAGAGGGUCAAGAAAGUGGAAGGUGGUGGGGAAAAAGUUGUGAAGAAGGGGUGGCAGUGUAUUUUGAAAUUUUGGUUGUUGAGA